AUAGCGUAUAUUAAAGUUGUUGCAGUUAAAAAGCCCGUAGUUGAACUUCAGAUUUGGUUGGGUGGUCCGCUUAACAGCGUGUACUGUCUGACUGAACCUUACCUCUUGGUGAGCUGGUGUGCCCUUUAUUGGUGUGCACCAGGGAACCAGGACUUUUACCUUGAGAAAAUUAGAGUGUUCAAAGCAGGCACUUGCCUGAAUACAUUAGCAUGGAAUAAUGGAAUAGGACGUGUGGUUCUAUUUUGUUGGUUUCUAGAGUCACCGUAAUGAUUAAUAGGGAUAGUUGGGGGCAUUGGUAUUGAGUCGCUAGAGGUGAAAUUCUUGGAUUGACUCAAGACCAACUAGUG
This 347-nucleotide ribosomal RNA is filed under the name Amanita populiphila. RNAcentral's name for it is "SSU rRNA". It matches the Rfam family "Eukaryotic small subunit ribosomal RNA", at positions 594 to 945 of the family's 1831-position model. Lineage: Eukaryota; Fungi; Basidiomycota; Agaricomycetes; Agaricales; Amanitaceae. The record is from RNAcentral.